GACGAACGCUGGCGGCGUGGAUUAGGCAUGCAAGUCGAACGGUAGGAUACCUUCGGGUAUCUGAGAGUGGCGAACGGGUGAGUAACACGUAGGUGAUCUACCCUCAAGAUUGGGACAACCCAGGGAAACUUGGGCUAAUACCGGAUGAAAGCAGCAGUGAUGUUGUUUGAAAGGUGGCGUAAGCUGCCGUUUGGGGAUGAGCCUGCGCUCUAUUAGUUAGUUGGCGGGGUAAAGGCCCACCAAGGCGAUGAUAGAUAGGCGGCCUUAACGGGUGGUCGCCCACACUGGGAUUGAGAUACGGCCCAGACUCCUACGGGAGGCAGCAGUCGAGAAUAGUCUACAAUGGCCGAAAGGCUGAUAGUGCGGCGCCGCGUGAACGAAGAAGCCCUUCGGGGUGUAAAGUUCUUUUAUAUGUGAGCAGUGCUUUCUAUGUGAACAGCAUGGGGAGAGAGAUAUUAGCAUAUGAAUAAGCAACGGCUAACUCCGUGCCAGCACG
Molecule: ribosomal RNA, 496 nt
Filed under: uncultured bacterium
Lineage: Bacteria
Description: bacterial SSU rRNA
Rfam family: Bacterial small subunit ribosomal RNA
Source: RNAcentral